UAUAAACGAAAGCCAGUUCAUUUUAUCUAUGCUUUACUUUUAAAUUUUUUUUUUUAAAUUUGGUAACAAACAAUAAAUUAAAAAUUUGGUUCCUUCAAUUAUGACUGCUAAGCUCAUAAGCACACAUUACAGAGUACAAAGGGACUGGAAAACGUUCUUUCAGCGAUAUAACAAACAGAUAUCUCUUAAAAUUAGCUUGUGUUAUAAAAACAAACAGGCGGGCAAGCAAGUAGUUAAGGUGGCUGGAUCCCACAUGGCCAACAGCGGGGCUCCAGUCCUGGAUCAGCAGCUUGCCCGAAAUCCACAGAAGAAAAAGAAGGGCUUACAGCGACCGGCCCCACAAUCACUCACACUGGGGGAGUGAAGCAUCCCUGUGGAGACACCCAUCCGAGCUCUGGCCAACAACUUCACUGCAGCCUUGAGAUGAACUGCACAGAUUAAACAAAGCUAAGUGAAACAAACAAAACCUAUACAGAAGGGACGCCUGCAGAAUCUUCUGUUCAAAGCCUCCUGAGUAUUACACAGACUUGAGUUCGGUAUUUCCAUCAGAAAAUAGAGAAAAAGUUUGCCCAUCCGUGAAUCAGUGAGGUGAAAAAGUUAUAGUUGAUGUUACUAUCAAAUCUGUCAGAUGAUCUUGGUAAUUGGAUUUUAUUACCAGCUUAUAAAUUUCUACAUAAGAGAUGACUUAAAAAAGGACAGAGUUCAACCCCUCUUUGAAGCAGAUGUCCAGCUGUGCCUACAGAUCUUAGCUGUGGACUGCUGGCAAACACCCUGUAUCCAUCUGGAUUUCACAGAGAGUGAAGUCAUCAUCACCUUGCUCUAAGGCGCAUAACAGUGUGGGUAACAAGUAAAUGUUCAGCACUGGAAGCUCAGACUCUCAGCACGUACCCUCUGGAGAUUCUGAAUGUUUCCCCAAGUGAUAACAACCAUGAACUAAAUUUUGAAUUUUACAAGGUUCAUGCUUAAUAGUAGGUAGCAUUUUGGGCAAAUGUGCAAUCAAGCUAAACUUGCAAACUAAACUGUUAUUUAAGUCUUUCACAUAUACAUAUUGCUAUCCUAUGGCAAACACUUAUUGACAAAAAACAAUGUACAGACAGAGCUUCCUAACGUAAUUUCAGUGACCUAAGUUUUUAAAUUACAUUAGACUAUUUCUAUGUGGUGUAAAAAAAAAAAUGACAAUUCAAUUUUCAGCCUCUGCAUUUUUAUUUCUAGAGUUCUUGCUCUUUAAAACUAAUUAAUUUUCCAUAACUGCUGUACAGUUAUAAUCAGUCGCUAUGAAUCAGAAGUAAAAUUCAGCUCAUGUCAGAAAUUAUUCAGGAACCUUCAUUUGGUUUUAAAGUAGAACGUUUAAUUAAAUGAGCUACAAGAAAAUAGUCCAAUUUCUA
This is a long non-coding RNA of Tupaia belangeri chinensis (Chinese tree shrew), 1385 nucleotides long. RefSeq lists it as uncharacterized. Lineage: Eukaryota; Metazoa; Chordata; Mammalia; Scandentia; Tupaiidae. The record is from RefSeq and is a predicted model, not a curated record. The transcript has 3 exons.